RNAcentral lists this ribosomal RNA (770 nucleotides) under uncultured bacterium. RNAcentral's name for it is "bacterial SSU rRNA". It matches the Rfam family "Bacterial small subunit ribosomal RNA", at positions 8 to 796 of the family's 1533-position model. The record is from RNAcentral.
AGAGUUUGAUCCUGGCUCAGGACGAACGCUGGCGGCGUGCUUAACACAUGCAAGUCGAACGGAAAGGCCCUUCGGGGUACUCGAGUGGCGAACGGGUGAGUAACACGUGGGUGAUCUGCCCUGCACUUUGGGAUAAGCCUGGGAAACUGGGUCUAAUACCGAAUAUGACCAUGCGCCUCCUGGUGUGUGGUGGAAAGCUUUUGCGGUGUGGGAUGGGCCCGCGGCCUAUCAGCUUGUUGGUGGGGUAAUGGCCUACCAAGGCGACGACGGGUAGCCGGCCUGAGAGGGUGACCGGCCACACUGGGACUGAGAUACGGCCCAGACUCCUACGGGAGGCAGCAGUGGGGAAUAUUGCACAAUGGGCGCAAGCCUGAUGCAGCGACGCCGCGUGAGGGAUGACGGCCUUCGGGUUGUAACCUCUUUCAGCACAGACGAAGCGCAAGUGACGGUACGUGCAGAAGAAGGACCGGCCAACUACGUGCCAGCAGCCGCGGUAAUACGUAGGGUCCGAGCGUUGUCCGGAAUUACUGGGCGUAAAGAGCUCGUAGGUGGUUUGUCGCGUUGUUCGUGAAAACUCACAGCUUAACUGUGGGCGUGCGGGCGAUACGGGCAGACUUGAGUACUGCAGGGGAGACUGGAAUUCCUGGUGUAGCGGUGGAAUGCGCAGAUAUCAGGAGGAACACCGGUGGCGAAGGCGGGUCUCUGGGCAGUAACUGACGCUGAGGAGCGAAAGCGUGGGGAGCGAACAGGAUUAGAUACCCUGGUAGUCC